RNAcentral lists this long non-coding RNA (1310 nucleotides) under Mytilus galloprovincialis (Mediterranean mussel). The record is from RNAcentral. Lineage: Eukaryota; Metazoa; Mollusca; Bivalvia; Mytilida; Mytilidae.
UCCUUGAGUUAUACCCUAUUGUAGUAGCAGCAUUGUUAUGGGGCCACCUCUGGCCCUGUAAAAAGAUAUUAUUUUGGUGUGAUAAUGAAGCUACUGUUGCUAUUGUUAGAAAGGGACGCUCUAAAUGUUUAGAAAUUAUGAAACUUAUGCGUCAAUUAACAUGGUGUGCAGCUCAGUCUAAUUUUCAUUUUAGUGCUAAACAUGUACCUGGUCAUAUCAACCAAAUUUCUGAUGCUUUGUCUCGUUUUCAGAUGACUCGUUUCCGAAAAUUGGCUCCCCAGGCAGAGCAGAACCCUCAUACAUGCCCCAGUGUGUCAGAAGUAAUGUGGUCUUAACAAACACAGUCAACAAAUUAUGGUCUAAUGCUGUAGCUAUGAGGACAAGAGCUGUUUAUGAGACAGGAUAUAACCAUUUCAAAACAUUUCUUCUUUUAAAUGGGGUCAACCUGAAUGGGAACAAAUUACCUCCCAUAUCUGAAGAACUUUUAAUUUAUUUCGUUAGUCAUUGUUUUCAAAUUCUGAAAUUACAAUAUUCUACUAUUAAGCUGUAUAUUUGUGGUAUUAGAUACAUGUGUCUCAAGGACAACAUCCCCUCACCUUUUCAAUCAUCAGACAAAGACCAUAAAUCAAUGGUUCGACUAUCUUUAUUUCUAAAGUCCGUUAAACGUUCACAAAAACAGUCAGUUAGGCCAAGAUUUCCAAUUACUUCUGACAUACUAAAGCAAAUGUGUGUUAAACUGAAGAGAGGCUUUUUUUCAGAAUUUAUAGACUUAAUGCUGGAAACUGUUUGUAUAGUAGCAUUUCAUGGAUUUUUACGUUGUGGUGAAUUUACUGUAGAUAAUGCAUCUAACUUUGAUUCAGAAUCUAAUUUAUGUGUUUCUGAUGUUACAUUUUAUGAAGAUUUUGCAAUUCUUCAUCUAAAGCAGUCUAAAACUGAUCCUUUUAGGAAAGGCAUUGACAUACAACUGCAUAGGCUAAACAAUAUCCUAUGCCCUUAUACAACUUUAAAGCACUACUUACAAAUGAGAUCAGUUAAAGGGAAAUGUGAACUUUCAGAUCCUUUGUUCAUUAAUGAAAAUUUUUCAGCUUUAGAAAGAAAAUAUUUUAUUACAAAUUUAAAAAAUUUUAUUAGAAGCCUGCGGAUACAAAGCAGAGCUAUAUAAUGGCCAUUCCUUUCGUAUAGGCGCAGCAACCAGUGCUGGAAAAGCUAAUGUUGAAGAUCACUUAAUUAAAACAUUGGGUAGAUGGAGUUCUGAUAGUUAUUGUCGCUAUAUAAGAACAGAUAAAUCUUCUAUUAAGAAUGCACAGCAA